AAGUCCAGGAAUUCACCCCUGAAAAAGUACUUAUGAUUUUAUUCAAGUUGAUACAGACAAAAACUCAUUUGAUAACCAGGUACUAUUACAAGGCUUACUUGACAACAUUUGUAUGCUUCAGAUUCAGCUAAUACCUUCUAAACACCCGUGUCAAGACUAGACAAGUGAAUCUGAAUGUAUGAAGUUAGCUAAGUGAGGAGAUAUAUUUUGCCUUAAAGAAGUGGGGAGUAACAGUCAAGUGGGGCCACUAACUAUGUGAGAACAGCCAGCCUACAUUUUCAGGUUUAAUUCAUAAUUUUUAAAUGUUGACUAAGCCAGGUGUUGGUAGCUCAUGCUUUUAUAAUCCUAACCACUCAGGAGAAAGAGACCUAGAGAAUUAAAGUUUGAAGACGGCCUUAGCAGAAAGUCUGUGAGGCUCUCAUCUCCAAUUAACCACCAAAAA
This is a long non-coding RNA of Perognathus longimembris pacificus (Pacific pocket mouse), 442 nucleotides long. RefSeq lists it as uncharacterized. NCBI's taxonomy places the organism in Eukaryota, Metazoa, Chordata, Mammalia, Rodentia, Heteromyidae. The transcript has 3 exons. The record is from RefSeq and is a predicted model, not a curated record.